UUUUUAGUGUAAAUAUAUCUCAAGCAAUUUUUGGAAUAUACUUAUACUCAAA
This 52-nucleotide microRNA precursor is filed under the name Marmota monax (woodchuck). The record is from RNAcentral. Lineage: Eukaryota; Metazoa; Chordata; Mammalia; Rodentia; Sciuridae.